Molecule: ribosomal RNA, 403 nt
Filed under: uncultured bacterium
Lineage: Bacteria
Description: partial 16S ribosomal RNA
Rfam family: Bacterial small subunit ribosomal RNA
Source: RNAcentral
AUUGAACGCUGGCGGCAGGCCUAACACAUGCAAGUCGAGCGAGCGGCGGACGGGUGAGUAAUGUAUGCGGACUGCCCGAUAGAUGGCGUUCACUACUGGAAACGGUGGCUAAUACCGCAUACUAUCGGAUUACCCAUAUGGGAUUAGCUAGUAGGUGGGGUAAAGGCUCACCUAGGCGACGAUCUCUAGCUGGUCUGAGAGGAGGAUAAGGCACACUGGGACUGAGAGACGGCCAAGAGUGCUAGGGAGGCAGCAGUGGGGAAUAUGGGACAAUGGGAGAAAGCCUGAGGCAGGCAUGCCGCGUGUAUGAAGAAGGCAUUAGGGGUGUAAAGUACUUUCAGCGGGGAGGCGUUACCAGAAGAAGAAGCACCGGCGAACUACGUGCCAGCAGCCGCGGUAAUUC